GAUGAACGUUAGCGAUAGGCUUAACACAUGCAAGUCGAGGGGCAGCAUGGUCUUAGCUUGCUAAGACUGAUGGCGACCGGCGCACGGGUGCGUAACGCGUAUGCAACUUGCCUCACAGAGGGGGAUAACCCGUCGAAAGACGGACUAAUACCGCGUACACUUGGGAUAGGGCAUCCUGACCCAAGGAAAUGAAAUUCGCUGUGAGAUAGGCAUGCGUCCCAUUAGCUAGUUGGUGAGGUAACGGCUCACCAAGGCGACGAUGGGUAGGGGAACUGAGAGGUUGAACCCCCACACUGGUACUGAGACACGGACCAGACUCCUACGGGAGGAAGCAGUGAGGAAUAUUGGUCAAUGGGCGAGAGCCUGAACCAGCCAAGUCGCGUGAAGGAUGACUGUCUUAUGGAUUGUAAACUUCUUUUAUACGGGAAUAACAAGAGCCACGUGUGGCUCCCUGCAUGUACCGUAUGAAUAAGCAUCGGCUAACUCCGUG
Molecule: ribosomal RNA, 490 nt
Filed under: uncultured bacterium
Lineage: Bacteria
Description: partial 16S ribosomal RNA
Rfam family: Bacterial small subunit ribosomal RNA
Source: RNAcentral